UAAGACGAACCGUCCUAACGUUGUUCGGAUUCACUGGGCUUAAAGGGCGCGUAGGCGGGCAGCUAAGUCCGGGGUGAAAGCCCCCAGCUCAACUGGGGAAGUGCCUUGGAAACUGACUGUCUCGAGGGGGGUAGGGGCCUGUGGAACUUCGGGUGGAGCGGUGAAAUGCGUUGAUAUCCGAAGGAACGCCGGUGGCGAAAGCGACGGGCUGGACCCCUUCUGACGCUGAGGCGCGAAAGCCAGGGGAGCAAAC
This 253-nucleotide ribosomal RNA is filed under the name uncultured bacterium. RNAcentral describes it as "partial 16S ribosomal RNA". It matches the Rfam family "Bacterial small subunit ribosomal RNA", at positions 521 to 773 of the family's 1533-position model. The record is from RNAcentral.